Molecule: long non-coding RNA, 206 nt
Filed under: Elaeis guineensis (African oil palm)
Lineage: Eukaryota; Viridiplantae; Streptophyta; Magnoliopsida; Arecales; Arecaceae
Description: long non-coding RNA (EGUI_LNC038172)
Source: RNAcentral
ACUGGCAUGAUCUCAUCAUGGCCCUAAAAUCAUUGUCCUAAUCUAAAAGAUUCAUUAUAAUCUUAAAUAAGUAUAAGAUGCUGCAUAUAAUGAAUCAAAAUACCUAAAUUUAUUAAUAAAUAAUAUCAAAAUAUGAGUUUGAAAAAUAAAAUAUAGAAAAAUAUCCCAUCGCAUCACAUAUGCAAGUAGUUUAUAGGAUAUUAUUC